RNAcentral lists this ribosomal RNA (481 nucleotides) under uncultured soil bacterium. Its description in RNAcentral is "bacterial SSU rRNA". It matches the Rfam family "Bacterial small subunit ribosomal RNA", at positions 27 to 497 of the family's 1533-position model. The record is from RNAcentral.
GGGACGAACGCUGGCGGCGCGCUUAACACAUGCAAGUCGAGCGAGAACCAGGGCUUCGGCCCUGGGGAAAGCGGCGAACGGGUGAGUAACACGUGAGUAACCUGUCCUCGGCACCGGGAUAGCCCGGGGAAACCCGGAUUAAUACCGGAUGGCCUUUCGAGUCUUCGGGCUCGUCAGAAAAGGUAGCUUCGGCCUCCGGCCGAGGAGGGACUCGCGGCGGAUUAGCUUGUUGGUGGGGUAACGGCUCACCAAGGCGACGAUCCGUAGCUGGUCUGAGAGGACGAUCAGCCACACUGGGACUGAGACACGGCCCAGACUCCUACGGAGCAGCAGUGGGAAUCUGCGCAAUGGGCGAAAGCCUGACGCAGCGACGCCGCGUGCGGGAAGAAGGCCUUCGGGUGUAAACCGCUUUCGAGGAGGGACGAAGCCGACGUCGGUUAAUAGCCCAGAGGUGACGGUACCUCCGAGAAGAAGCCCCGGA